GACGAACGCUGGCGGCGUGCUUAACACAUGCAAGUCGAACGGAAAGGCCCUGCUUUUGUGGGGUGCUCGAGUGGCGAACGGGUGAGUAACACGUGAGUAACCUGCCCUUGACUUUGGGAUAACUUCAGGAAACUGGGGCUAAUACCGGAUAGGAGCUCCUGCUGCAUGGUGGGGGUUGGAAAGUUUCGGCGGUUGGGGAUGGACUCGCGGCUUAUCAGCUUGUUGGUGGGGUAGUGGCUUACCAAGGCUUUGACGGGUAGCCGGCCUGAGAGGGUGACCGGCCACAUUGGGACUGAGAUACGGCCCAGACUCCUACGGGAGGCAGCAGUCGGGAAUAUUGCACAAUGGGCGGAAGCCUGUUGCAGCAGCGCCGCGUGCGGGAUGACGGCCUUCGGGUUGUAAACCGCUUUCGCCUGUGACGAAGCGUGAGUGACGGUAAUGGGUAAAGAAGCACCGGCUAACUACGUG
This 468-nucleotide ribosomal RNA is filed under the name uncultured bacterium. RNAcentral's name for it is "partial 16S ribosomal RNA". It matches the Rfam family "Bacterial small subunit ribosomal RNA", at positions 28 to 507 of the family's 1533-position model. The record is from RNAcentral.